RNAcentral lists this ribosomal RNA (301 nucleotides) under uncultured bacterium. RNAcentral's name for it is "partial 16S ribosomal RNA". It matches the Rfam family "Bacterial small subunit ribosomal RNA", at positions 509 to 807 of the family's 1533-position model. The record is from RNAcentral.
CAGCCGCCACGGUAAUACGAGUGGUGCAAGCGUUAUUCGGAUUGAUUGGGUGUAAAGGGUGUGCAGACGGCUUAUUAAGUCACUUGUUAAAUUCUUCGGCCUAACUGAAGGUCUGCAAGUGAUACUGAUGAGCUAGAGGGUGGAAGAGAGAAGUGGAAUUCUCGGAGUAGCGGUAAAAUGCGUAGAUCUCGAGAGGAACACCAAUGGCGAAGGCAGCUUCUUGGUCCAUUCCUGACGUUCAUACACGAAAGCGUGGGGAGCAAACAGGAUUAGAUACCCCCGUAGUCCCUGUCUCUUAUAC